UAAGAUGCUUCUCCCAUCAGAUGUCUUUCUGUAUUUGUCGGAGCACCGCUUCUAGAUUCACAAUCAGCGUCUUUUCUUGUUUUGUCCCGGAACGACAGAGGUCGUGGUUCAAAUCUCUGUUCAGCCACGAAACUGGGGUUGAUCCUGGAACAGCUCCAUACUCAUAGCAUUUUGCUAGAAAUAGGAAACCCAGGAGAGCUCAAAUCAUCCUUCACCUCUCAGGUUCACUGGCUCAUCCCGGUCAAUCACUACCUCUCAGCCCAAACCAGAGAGAUUUAAAAGGCUAUAAAUAGGGGACAGGACCAUGUUCACUGCCUCGAACAAAGUCACAAUAACAACGUUAGACUGUGAUAAAUGAACAGCCAUACCAAACCCUCACCUUAUUUCUCCUUCCUAACCAUAGGGAGUGAACUUUCAUUAUACAAUCUCUGGAGCUGUGGGAGGGGAAAGCUCUGAAGACUGAUUUAAUUACUGUUAGCUGCCGGUGGUAACGAUAGCAAUGAGAGAAAGUCUUCAGAGCUUUCUCGGCACCUCAGCAUUGUUCUGUGAGGCGUCUGUAGGCAGCUCCGAGUCAUCCCUAACAAUGGAGAUCCGUAACAUGGGUGACUCAGAAAUCACACAUGUGGGACCUGCCAAUCCUCCUUCUCUGCCCUGUCAUGAGAUUUCGGAGAAGCUCUGGAGCGCUCGACAGAAGGCAAGAUCUAUGCCUCCAGGACAGCAGACGGGAUGGAGAGAAGGAGGAGGAGAAUGAAAACAGAAUGAGAGAGAGAAAUGGAAAAGGUCCAAUGAUGAAUGAUUGGGGAUUAAAAUAGCGUUCGCCCUGGCUGCAACGGAAUAUGAGGCUCCUGGAAUGAUAUAACAGAUGUUUCAAAGAUUGAAAUGUCACACUAGGCACUGGAGAGUGGAACACAGUGUUAUCGGAGUCUUUCCUGCUUCUAAUCAGCCUGUUCUUUUUGCUAGACUCUCUGAGUGAUGAUGGAGGUGGCGCUGAGCGCAGGACCAAAGGCCAGAAGAACAGAGCACAUGGGACAGCAGUGCAUGGCGAGGGGCCAGGUGACCAGCGUUCAGAGCCCCUGCAAAGAGGUCUCAUGGCACCUUAGAGACUUUGUCCUACAUUAAAGGAUUGUUUGUUUUAUUUAUUUAUUUUCAUGUAUUUCUUCUGAAGGGACCCAGAAUGGCACACACCUCAGUAUAGCCACCCAUCACCUAUAUAACAAAGGCUAUAAUCCAAUUAUGAGGGACAUGGUGGCACUGCGGGUUAAACCGCAGAAGCCUCUGUGCUGCAAGGUCGGAAGACCGGCAGUCGUAAGAUCGAAUCCAUGCAACGGAGUGAGCUCCCCUCGCUUGUCCCAACUCCCGUCAACCUAGCAGUUCGAAAGCAUGUAAAAAUACAAGUAGAUAAAUAGGUACCACCUCGGUGGGAAGGUAACAGCGUUCCGUGUCUAGUCGCGCUGGCCACGUGACCAUGGAAGAUUGUCUUCAGACAAACGCUGGCUUUACGGCGUGGAGACGGGGACGAGCACCGCGCCCUAGAGUCAGACACAACUGGACAAAUUGUCAAGGGGAACCUUUACCUAUAAUCCAAUUAUGAGAGCCUUCCUGCAAACGGUAAAAAAAUAUAAGAAUAAAAUUUAGCAACGAGACCCA
Pogona vitticeps (central bearded dragon) is the source of this 1647-nucleotide long non-coding RNA. The record is from Ensembl. NCBI's taxonomy places the organism in Eukaryota, Metazoa, Chordata, Lepidosauria, Squamata, Agamidae.